GUUGGUUGAAAAUCACCUGCGACCUUGACCAAGGCCAUGGCUAUGGGUGAGAUUCAGGGCCUAGAGCCACGUGGGGCCUCAGCUCACUGUCCACUCGAUGUGAAGAGGUGAAACCCAGGCCCCGACACGU
This is a small nucleolar RNA of Eptesicus fuscus (big brown bat), 130 nucleotides long. RefSeq annotates it as small nucleolar RNA ACA64. The transcript has a single exon. The record is from RefSeq and is a predicted model, not a curated record. NCBI's taxonomy places the organism in Eukaryota, Metazoa, Chordata, Mammalia, Chiroptera, Vespertilionidae.